This 1072-nucleotide ribosomal RNA is filed under the name Polycarpa mytiligera. RNAcentral's name for it is "large ribosomal RNA". The stretch from base 675 to 1009 matches the Rfam family "Archaeal large subunit ribosomal RNA", at positions 2151 to 2715 of the family's 2987-position model. The record is from RNAcentral. Lineage: Eukaryota; Metazoa; Chordata; Ascidiacea; Stolidobranchia; Styelidae.
UGUUUAUAAAGUAGUUUAAAAUAAGUUGGUUUGUAUAUGGAUGUUAGUAAUAGUUGGUGCAUUUAAUAAGGUUUUGUUUACUUACUGUUGUUGCCUUUUGUAUAAUGAUUUGAGGAGUUUGUAACUUAGAUAAGGCAUUCUCGAAGUAACAAGGUAAGACAGUGGUUUUAAAUUAAUGUUAAAAUAUUGAUUUUUUAGCUGUGAGUUUGAUAUAAGAAUCGGUUGUUGGGAUAAAUAGUAGAUGCAAUCUCUAUGUGUGAGUGUUUCUGAUAAGGGUCAGCUUUAUCAGAACUUUUAAUUUUUAAACACUCUAUUUUAAAAUAAUUUUAUUGUGUUGUUGCUUUUUGUGUUUUAUAAUGUGUCUUUAUAUUAUCUUAAAAUUAGUACUUGGUUUUAAAUAUUUUAAAAAUGGUAAAAUAUUGUUAUGUGUACAUAGGUGUAAAGAAAGAAAGGAAUUUGGCAAUUUAGUUGUGUAAAAGUUUACCAAAAGCUGAGUUGGUUGAUAACUAAUAAUCAAUGUUGUCUGCUCAAUGUUUUUAAUAAAUGGCAGCUUAAGGUUUUAAUGUAGCGUAGUAAUUUGUCUAUUAAUUGUAGUCUAGUGAAUGGCUUAGGACAGCAUCUUUCUAUCUUUUUUGAAAGGAAAUUCUUUUUGGGUGAAAAUACUCAAUAAGUAAUAAAAGAAAAAAAGACCCUAGGUAGUUUUAGUGAUAUCAUCGUAUAAAUAUGUGAGAAGCUUUGGUUGGGGAAACGUCAGAUUAAUUUAAUAACAAUUUCUGUUUUGGUAGCCUGGGAGAGGUGUGUUAUAAUAAUUCUGUUUUAGAAAAACUAACCCUAGGGGUAACAGCGCUAUUAAUUAGGAGAGUUCAUAUCGAUUAAUUAGUUUACGACCUCGAUGUCGACUUAAAUUUCACUUAGAUGCAGCAGUCUAGGUAUGUGUGUUUGUUCACCACUUAAUAAUUUACGUGAGUUGGGUUAAAAACGGGGUAACUUAGUUUGGAUUUUUUCUUUAAGUGUUUGGAUUUAUUAGUACGAGAGGAAAACAAAAUAAUAUAUGAAGGUUAAAUAUAUGUUU